Molecule: microRNA precursor, 84 nt
Filed under: Bombyx mori (domestic silkworm)
Lineage: Eukaryota; Metazoa; Arthropoda; Insecta; Lepidoptera; Bombycidae
Description: mir-2807 microRNA precursor family
Rfam family: mir-2807 microRNA precursor family
Source: Rfam by way of RNAcentral
UUAAGUCAAAUUUGUAUGCAGUUGGAACAGCGCCCCUAGCGGCAAACGUAGGCAAACGAUCCCAUUCCAUACAAAUUUGAGUUA